This 301-nucleotide ribosomal RNA is filed under the name uncultured bacterium. RNAcentral's name for it is "partial 16S ribosomal RNA". It matches the Rfam family "Bacterial small subunit ribosomal RNA", at positions 509 to 807 of the family's 1533-position model. The record is from RNAcentral.
CAGUCGCCGCGGGAAUACGGAGGGUGCAAGCGUUAAUCGGAAUUACUGGGCGUAAGACGCACGCAGGCGGUUUGUUGAGUCAGAUGUGAAAUCCCCGAGCUUAACUUGGGAACUGCAUUUGAAACUGGCAAGCUAGAGUCUUGUAGAGGGGGGUAGAAUUCCAGGUGUAGCGGUGAAAUGCGUAGAGAUCUGGAGGAAUACCGGUGGCGAAGGCGGCCCCCUGGACAAAGACUGACGCUCAGAUGCGAAAGCGUGGGGAGCAAACAGGAUUAGAUACCCCGGUAGUCCCUGUCUCUUAUAC